UUCUGAAGUUGGGUGGGGUGAUUUACGGCAGAUGAGAGAAACUUUGCUUAUACUCUUCUCUGUUCUCAGCUGUGACAACUGCUUCUUCUCGGAUCUUUUCCCUUUGAUUUGUCCUAUUUUAUCGGCUGUUUUUUUGGGUCUUUGAGGUCAUUUGUUAAAAUGUUGUGCCUCUCACCAUUUGUGACAGGAUUUUGAAUAUCUGUUACAAGAGACUUCAAGGGAUGGAUUUUGCUUCUUCAUUACUUCGACACCAAUUAGCAAAUUAGAUGUCGACAAUGCUCUCUCGGUCGGUAGUUCGGGACUUGUGCCGGUGCAGCCUUCAGGGUUUGCUCUAAUGCCUGAUGGACCUGACGGCUUCAAUUCUAAUGCAUCAUUGGUGACAGUUGCCAUCCAACAAUAACUUAACAAUACAGACACUGAUCAAGCAAUUCCAACAAUGUGUUAUCUUGUUAACGCCAUCAUUAAAGAGAUAUCUGAAGAAGCAUAUAUAAUGUCAAUACAGUAGUCAUUCUGACGUGAGAACGAAAGUGGAUUUUCAAUGCAAUAAUUCUUGAUGAACAUAAUGUUGAAGUUUCGUAUGAUUGGUCAAUAUUAGUGAAUCGUUAUUGGCAGCAAUUACAUCCUCUCCAAGAUAAUCUUGUAGCUGCUUGUCUGCCAUCAACGAUUCAAGAUGAUUCCCCACUGAUCAAAUCUGGAUAUUGGUGUAUUCCACUGAUGAAUUAUGUUCAGGAAUUUGAAAGUAGGCUUGAACCUGUCCUUGAGAAUCUGAAUUUGCAAAAUAUAACAGUUUGAAUGGCCAGUCGAACUUGGUUAAUAUCUGUUGAUAAUGGACAUCUCAAUGUUGGCAUGUUGAGCGACUUCCUCCAUCCUCUCCAGUUUCAACUAUAUGACUAUGUAUUCAAUGGGCAUGACGGACGUGCCAUGCACGUCGCGA
This is a long non-coding RNA of Rhododendron vialii, 934 nucleotides long. RefSeq lists it as uncharacterized. The transcript has 5 exons. Lineage: Eukaryota; Viridiplantae; Streptophyta; Magnoliopsida; Ericales; Ericaceae. The record is from RefSeq and is a predicted model, not a curated record.